GGCUAGGGGGCGAGGAGCCUCCUACUGCCCAUCUUCCCGUACACCACGCGCAGUUACUCACCUUUGUCUCCGGCCUGGAUUAAGGAUCCAGCCUUUCGCCUCCAUCCCUCUUGUCCCUCCUGAUCCUCCUGACCCUGUCUUUAAGAUCCCAGGAGCUGCGGUGAGGAGUGAGGCUGAGGGGCCCCUUUCAUCUGACGCAGCGACUCCGCUUUCCUCCGGCGGCUCUGUCUAUGGCUGAGCUCUUUGAUCCUUUGAGGAAUGGUUUGACUUUUCCCGAGCAAAGAGCCUGCGUUGAAAAGCGGGGGUGGAAUUCAGUCCUCACAGAUAAUGAGGGGACAAGACCUAAUUGAACCGAGUAUUGCCGGGAAGGAAAAGGCAACGGGCCAAGCCUUUGACAGGGUGCGAAACUGACUUUUAUCAUCGUUAUAGUCUUUAAAUCCUGGGAAACGAGUUGGCAACCCCAAAAUAAAGAAGUGUAAUGACGUCUGAUGACUUCACCCAAAUACAGACCAUUCCAAGAAAGACUUGCGCAGUUCUCAUGCGUGGUUGCGUUUUUGCAUAAAACUAAGAUUCCCUUUGUCCGCGUGUUUAAUAGCUUAAAAAUAAAUUGAGGUUUUUAUCGGAUAAAAGUAGCCAGGAAAAAGUGAUACAGUGAAAACGACUACAGGAUAUUUAUAGACUUGUCUUUCAAGUUAUUAGAAGUCUCAUUCUAUCUGGGGGCAGUGAUGGUGGUGGUGGUAGUGGAACUUGUGAAUUGAGAUUCAUCUCGAAACUGGAGGCAUGGCUGAGACUUCUAAUAAAGACAACCUCAGUCAACACU
RNAcentral lists this non-coding RNA (820 nucleotides) under Pan troglodytes (chimpanzee). The record is from RNAcentral. Lineage: Eukaryota; Metazoa; Chordata; Mammalia; Primates; Hominidae.